UUGCUUUUUUAUAGCUGAAAUUAGGGCUAGCACACAGAUAAGCCACCAAGAUGCAAUGUUGGAGUGUUUUGAAGGCAGAUGUCAGUUAAUUUGCACAAGGAAUUAUAAAAAAACAUGUUUUCUGUUGUGAUGAGCUUCUGAGUCAGAGCUGGAAUGUGCAGUGGAAGAAUAUUCAUCUGUGCUUUCCCACAUGGUGCCCUCCUUAACCACAAUUUCUUGCUGAACCACCUAUUAAUAGGCGCUUUACAGUUUUUACAAUUUUCUAUGGUCUGAAAUGGAAACUGUGGUAACAGAUUGCAUUUUCUAAGCCUAGAAUGGCUAGAAUUCCCCAAAGAAUCCCUGUAUGCUUGGGGUUUUCUCCCCUACUUCAUAUGUAUCAUAGACAAUUCACUGAAAUAUCAUACUAUGCACACUAAUUGUACUUCUGGGUUUUAUUUGCCAUUUACAAUGAGCAGCUUGCAGUGUUUAAAAUGGGUGUAACAGGCAGUGCUUUUAUAAGGAGUAACUGAUCCUGUCUCUGUGAAUAUUAACAUAAUGGAUGGUGGUGCCAACUAAAGCUGAUUUCUUCUUCCUCCUUAGUGCUACUCUCUCUGUGGAAGUCAAAACUGCAGUAUUCCUUAAAUAAUCCUGCCAGCCCAGAAACUGAAGACAAUAAAGGCAAAGUAUAGUGGAGCCUUUUGGUACAGUCAGCACUUCUUUCAUUUGCAUACACAGCUUGGAUGCAAGCUAGCAAAGAUAAUCUUUCAGGGAGAACAGGGGGCAUUUUAAAUGUACCCUGGAACACUUUCGCAGUACCUCCCUCCCAGGGACUGAAUUAAUCGUUGUGUAAAAUGCUUCUGAGAAGGAACCAAUUUCCUACCCUAAACCUGUAUGCAAAGGGGACACAAAAGCCUUAACCUCUCUUUUCUUGGAUAUAUUUUAGGAGUUGCUGUUAAUAAGGUUUUAUUCUAGUGAAAAACCUGAAAAUUUUUGCUUCUAGAUGAGGAUCAGACACAAUUAUCAGCCUAGGCUAGUAAUAAAAUAAAAUAUAAUUCUUGAAUUGCAAGUUUCCUAAAGAGGUUUCAGUAUGCUCUGUAAAAUGUUUAAGUUAUAUUUCCCAUAAAUGAAGGUAGUAUGAAAAAAUUCAAUUACUUGCUACAUGAUUCAGAGAAUAUAAGAAGUCAUGGGGAAAAACGUUAAUGUUCACUUUUACAUCUUCAAAUUCUAGGUUUCACUUCUUAAGCUGAAAAAAUAUAUAUCUGGGACUUGUUUUUGGUAUUUAAAAAAUGAGAUCCAUGAGUCAGAAGGUUCCAGAUUCUCCUUGUCCCAAAGAAGGGAUUUUCAUUUCAGUCACUUGUUUUGUUAACACAAUGAUUGGAUAGCAGUGAAACAAACACUAGUGCGGGACUUUUUUCUUUCAGAGAGGAAUACAGGCUUUGCUUAAAAUAAUGUAAGAAACACAUUUGUAUCCGAAGAUGUAUAUCACAGCAUUUCCAAGAAGCAGUCUACUGAAACUUACUUGUUUUUAAUGAGUAAGUAUAAGUACACCUCAAUUAAGGCUUUCUCUGAUACCACAUCAGACUUGCUUGCAUUUAAAUUAUUGGGUCAGCAAGAAAGGACAGUGGAACCUUUUAUUAGCAGCUGACUUCUCUCAAGUCUCAUUUUACGUUUUGGGUUCCUAAGCUACUCAACUGAAAGGAGAUCCUGUUAAAAAAAUGGAGGUGAAUAACAGAGACAACAGAGACAAGGCAGCUGCCAGACGUCAGCUUCCACUAUGUACUUCAAAACUACUGGUAUCCUCACUGAUAUUAUACAGAACCAUAAUGUAGUACCUGUCCUUGUGAAACAGGCAGUCUUUUUAAUUUUCUGGUAAGAGCUUUUAAUGAGAGAAGUCUAGGAUACAGAGUUGAAUAUUUUCUGAAAAGCAGUUUUAGAUGAAGAGGUUGCCCAUCAAGUAAGAACCUAAACUAAAGAAACUAAAUACUCAUUUAAAUUAUAUUUCACCUGCUGAAAUCAUUAUGGUGGUGCUGUUUUCUAAGGAAAUCUAAUAUCUCAACAGUGAAUUUCAUAACACUCUUAUUUUUGUCAGGAAUUCUUCUUAUGUUGGACAGCCUCAUCGCUCGUCUUUACUGGUGGUGUUCUUUGAAAAGCUGCAGGAUGUCUUAAUUUCACUUGAAUUUUGGGGUUGAGGGUUAAUUAGUGUACAAAUGACAAAGACACCAUGUGACCUCUAGAGAAUAUAUAGCCUCUUAUCACAUGCAUCAGCAAGUACAUCUGAGAUGUUUUGGGCUGUUUCUCCCUUGCCUUCUUGGCUGGAGCUCUUCCCAGCUCUUGCUGGACAUACACAGAUAUUUUUGUUGUUCUGGUAACAUGAGAGAAGGUGGUUGAUCAUUAGUAUAUGAUGAAUUAUAGAGCACAUACAGACUAACAGGUCUACUCACUAUAGAAUACUAAAUAAUGAAUGUGGUUGAUAUCUUUUUAAUGAGAAAGUAGAAUAACAGAAAAGGCCUGUUGUUAAAGUUGUGUUUUCUUUGAGAUACAAUAUCAAUGAGCUGCUUGAGAAGCAGAUGACAUACGUAAUUAAUCCCCAGUGUAACUUUACUGGACUCCAUUGAUUUGCAUGAGAUUAAUUUUCUUAAUUCUUUUGGGGAGAGAAAAGUUGAGAAUUACAUAGUAGGAAAGCUGUCUAGUUAUUUUCUUAUGUAUGAAACCUUUUGGUCAGAUUUAGUAGCUCAAGUGCUUUGGGAAGUUGGGAAUGUUAAAGGGAAAUAGAAAGUAGAAUUUAAAUUUAUUAUCAUGGAUUGCAAAUAUUUAAUGACUAUUUUUUCCAAGUUGUAUUAUUAACGACUUGUUUUAUUCAGGUUGUGUGAACAUAAGAAGGAAGCCCUUCCCUUCCUUCAGUAUCCGAGAGCCUUUUGCUUAGAAAUUUUAGCUUGAGAGGCUUGUGUUCUUCCAGAUGGGUAUGAUUUUUCUGUUUUCUUUUUCUCCUAUAUUGAGUCAGAGGGUUAGUGAAGCCAAUUCAUAAGGUAUUUAACCCCUUGUUAGGAAAAGUCACUCAGAGUAAUAGAUGAGAACUGAGAUCUUUCAUUAAGCAUGAUGUGUAACAGAGGUAGGAUUCAAUGACAGAGGACUGGAACAAAUUGAAAUAGCCUUAUUUCAAAAACUUCAGUGAGAUAUUUAAAAUUAAAUACCCAGAAUUAUUAGAAAAAAAUGUAAAAAAGAGAUACAUUGCAAUCAUUAAAACCCUUUUAUCACAAGGCAAAGUGAUUGCACAUCUUGCAAGCAUUAACAAUUCAAACUCAAAUACUACCCUACAGAGUAAGACUUGUGAGAAAUCUAGCAGUGACAUGCAGCAUGAAUUUUAUAUUUGCUGAGUACCACAUGAAUAACCCACUGAUUUCUGUAAGGAAGCUUUUCCCAGAUGGUGUAUGGCAUUUUGGCAGGAGAUGGAUUCCUGUUCUCCCUGCAGUUAAUUAGGUAUGGCCCAAGCACUUACUUAAUCCUGCUUGUGCCACAAGUAUUCACAUAAUCUCACUUCUUGAUCACAAGAAACAUUCAAAUGCUGUAUUAUUUGUGUUAUGAUACAAAGAUGGCCCCACUACAGUGAAGUUACCUUGAAUUUCCUCACAGUUGAGAUGUGAAAAAUAGAAGAUAUCCCAGCAGGAAAGAGCUGAGAGGAAGAGUAGAGGAGUCACAGCAGGAAUGCAGUAGUACAGCUAAGUUGGUUCAAGUAGUUUUUGGAACUUGCACAGUUUUGUUUCUGCUUCAUCAGAAGACACAAACUACUGUUGUAAUGCGAGACUUUAAAAAAAAAAAAAAAA
This 3800-nucleotide long non-coding RNA is filed under the name Taeniopygia guttata (zebra finch). Its description in RNAcentral is "lncRNA (ENSTGUG00000028644.1)". Lineage: Eukaryota; Metazoa; Chordata; Aves; Passeriformes; Estrildidae. The record is from RNAcentral.